This 647-nucleotide unclassified non-coding RNA is filed under the name Rhizopus arrhizus. RNAcentral describes it as "sequence contains 18S rRNA gene, ITS1, 5.8S rRNA gene, ITS2, 28S rRNA gene". The stretch from base 252 to 405 matches the Rfam family "5.8S ribosomal RNA". Lineage: Eukaryota; Fungi; Mucoromycota; Mucoromycetes; Mucorales; Rhizopodaceae. The record is from RNAcentral.
UGGAAGUAAAAAGUCGUAACAAGGUUUCCGUAGGUGAACCUGCGGAAGGAUCAUUAAUUAUGUUAAAGCGCCUUACCUCUUAGGGUUUCCUCUGGGGUAAGUGAUUGCUUCUACACUGUGAAAAUUUGGCUGAGAGACUCAGACUGGUCAUGGGUAGACCUAUCUGGGGUUUGAUCGAUGCCACUCCUGGUUUCAGGAGCACCCUUCAUAAUAAACCUAGAAAUUCAGUAUUAUAAAGUUUAAUAAAAAACAACUUUUAACAAUGGAUCUCUUGGUUCUCGCAUCGAUGAAGAACGUAGCAAAGUGCGAUAACUAGUGUGAAUUGCAUAUUCAGUGAAUCAUCGAGUCUUUGAACGCAGCUUGCACUCUAUGGUUUUUCUAUAGAGUACGCCUGCUUCAGUAUCAUCACAAACCCACACAUAACAUUUGUUUAUGUGGUAAUGGGUCGCAUCGCUGUUUUAUUACAGUGAGCACCUAAAAUGUGUGUGAUUUUCUGUCUGGCUUGCUAGGCAGGAAUAUUACGCUGGUCUCAGGAUCUUUUUCUUUGGUUCGCCCAGGAAGUAAAGUACAAGAGUAUAAUCCAGCAACUUUCAAACUAUGAUCUGAAGUCAGGUGGGAUUACCCGCUGAACUUAAGCAUAUCAAUAA